Molecule: small nuclear RNA, 154 nt
Organism: Raphanus sativus (radish)
Lineage: Eukaryota; Viridiplantae; Streptophyta; Magnoliopsida; Brassicales; Brassicaceae
Product: U4 spliceosomal RNA
Exons: 1
Source: RefSeq, a predicted model, not a curated record
AUCUUUGCGCUUGGGGCAAUGACGCAGCUAAUGAGGUACUAGCCGAGGCGCGUCUAUUGCUGGUUGAAAACUAUUUCCAAACCCCCUCAUUGAUCUUGGGCUUUGACCUAUGACUCUGAGAAUUUUUGGAAGGGCUCCCUUCGUGGGUAAAGCC